ACACUCUGAGUUCUCUUCAACUCGCAUAAAUCUUUCGCCUUUUACUAAAGAUUUCCGUGGAGAGGACUAGCAUGAGUUUUUAACAUUUUUUUGAUGCCCUGCACAAGCAGGGCU
Molecule: small nuclear RNA, 114 nt
Gene: U5
Rfam family: U5 spliceosomal RNA
About the family: U5 RNA is a component of both types of known spliceosome.
Source: Ensembl